UACGUAGGGGGCAAGCGUUGUCCGGAUUUAUUGGGCGUAAAGAGCGUGUAGGCGGCCAUACAGGUCCGUUGUGAAAACUGGAGGCUUAACCUCCAGACGUCGAUGGAAACCGUAUGGCUAGAGUCCGGAAGAGGAGAGUGGAAUUCCUGGUGUAGCGGUGAAAUGCGCAGAUAUCAGGAGGAACACCAAUGGCGAAGGCAGCUCGCUGGGACGGUACUGACGCUGAGACGCGAAAGCGUGGGGAGCAAACAGG
Molecule: ribosomal RNA, 253 nt
Filed under: uncultured bacterium
Lineage: Bacteria
Description: partial 16S ribosomal RNA
Rfam family: Bacterial small subunit ribosomal RNA
Source: RNAcentral